This 76-nucleotide transfer RNA is filed under the name Priestia megaterium. Its description in RNAcentral is "tRNA-OTHER". RNAcentral also lists the same sequence under 13 other names. The record is from RNAcentral. Lineage: Bacteria; Bacillati; Bacillota; Bacilli; Caryophanales; Bacillaceae.
UGAGUUACGCCGCGGUAGGCAAGCAGGUCUAAUCGAUGUAUCUGCUCGGCUGGUUCAACUCCAGCUAACUCAACCA